Molecule: ribosomal RNA, 520 nt
Filed under: Aquabacterium sp. 127700/05
Lineage: Bacteria; Pseudomonadati; Pseudomonadota; Betaproteobacteria; Burkholderiales; Sphaerotilaceae
Description: bacterial SSU rRNA
Rfam family: Bacterial small subunit ribosomal RNA
Source: RNAcentral
CUGGCGGCAUGCCUUACACAUGCAAGUCGAACGGCAGCACGGGAGCAAUCCUGGUGGCGAGUGGCGAACGGGUGAGUAAUGCAUCGGAACGUGUCCUGUAGUGGGGGAUAGCCCGGCGAAAGCCGGAUUAAUACCGCAUACGACCUGAGGGUGAAAGCGGGGGAUCUUCGGACCUCGCGCUAUAGGAGCGGCCGAUGUCAGAUUAGGUAGUUGGUGGGGUAAAGGCCUACCAAGCCGACGAUCUGUAGCUGGUCUGAGAGGACGACCAGCCACACUGGGACUGAGACACGGCCCAGACUCCUACGGGAGGCAGCAGUGGGGAAUUUUGGACAAUGGGCGCAAGCCUGAUCCAGCCAUGCCGCGUGCAGGAAGAAGGCCUUCGGGUUGUAAACUGCUUUUGUCAGGGAAGAAAUCCUCUGGGUUAAUACCUCGGAGGGAUGACGGUACCUGAAGAAUAAGCACCGGCUAACUACGUGCCAGCAGCCGCGGUAAUACGUAGGGUGCGAGCGUUAAUCGGAAU